AAGAUUUUAAGUUAAAUAUAAACUAUUAACCUUCAAAGUUAAAAUUGUAAUAAUCAAAUCUUA
This 63-nucleotide transfer RNA is filed under the name Dielis plumipes fossulana. RNAcentral's name for it is "tRNA-Trp". The record is from RNAcentral. Lineage: Eukaryota; Metazoa; Arthropoda; Insecta; Hymenoptera; Scoliidae.